UUUACUUAAUGAAGAUGCUUCCUAAAACCUUUUCUGAGGGGAGUUUCUGAUGGACUGUAAA
This is a non-coding RNA of Danio rerio (zebrafish), 61 nucleotides long. The record is from Rfam. Lineage: Eukaryota; Metazoa; Chordata; Actinopteri; Cypriniformes; Danionidae.